This 433-nucleotide ribosomal RNA is filed under the name uncultured bacterium. RNAcentral describes it as "partial 16S ribosomal RNA". It matches the Rfam family "Bacterial small subunit ribosomal RNA", at positions 29 to 507 of the family's 1533-position model. The record is from RNAcentral.
AACGAACGCUGGCGGCAUGCCUAACACAUGCAAGUCGAACGAGACCUUCGGGUCUAGUGGCGCACGGGUGCGUAACGCGUGGGAACCUGCCCUUAGGUUCGGAAUAACUCCCCGAAAGGGGUGCUAAUACCGGAUAAUGUCUUCGGACCAAAGAUUUAUCGCCUUUGGAUGGUCCCGCGUUGGAUUAGCUAGUUGGUAGGGUAAAAGCCUACCAAGGCGACGAUCCAUAGCUGGUCUGAGAGGAUGAUCAGCCACACUGGGACUGAGACACGGCCCAGACUCCUACGGGAGGCAGCAGUGGGGAAUAUUGGACAAUGGGCGAAAGCAUGAUCCAGCAAUGCCGCGUGAGUGAUGAAGGCCUUAGGGUUGUAAAGCUCUUUUACCCGGGAUGAUAAUGACAGUACCGGGAGAAUAAGCGCCGGCUAACUCCGUG